Molecule: ribosomal RNA, 449 nt
Filed under: uncultured bacterium
Lineage: Bacteria
Description: partial 16S ribosomal RNA
Rfam family: Bacterial small subunit ribosomal RNA
Source: RNAcentral
AACGAACGCUUGCGGCAUGCCUAAUACAUGCAAGUCGAACGAGAUCUUCGGAUCUAGUGGCGCACGGGUGCGUAACGCGUGGGAAUCUGCCCUUGGGUUCGGAAUAACUUCGGGAAACUGAAGCUAAUACCGGAUGAUGACGUAAGUCCAAAGAUUUAUCGCCCAAGGAUGAGUCCGCGUAGGAUUAGCUAGUUGGUAAGGUAAAGGCUUACCAAGGCGACGAUCCUUAGCUGGUCUGAGAGGAUGAUCAGCCACACUGGGACUGAGACACGGCCCAGACUCCUACGGGAGGCAGCAGUAGGGAAUAUUGGACAAUGGGGGCAACCCUGUUCCAGCAAUGCCGCGUGAGUGAUGAAGGCCUUAGGGUUGUAAAGCUCUUUUACCCGGGAUGAUAAUGACAGUACCGGGAGAAUAAGCCCCGGCUAACUCCGUGCCAGCCGCCGCAGUAA